This 93-nucleotide small nucleolar RNA is filed under the name Chlamydomonas reinhardtii. RNAcentral's name for it is "CrCD41d snoRNA". Lineage: Eukaryota; Viridiplantae; Chlorophyta; Chlorophyceae; Chlamydomonadales; Chlamydomonadaceae. The record is from RNAcentral.
UGGCGAUGAUGAUCCGGCUCUUUUACUUUCCUUUUCCCGAAGCUGAGGGCCCUUCUGGGGUCCGGCGCGGAGACACAGCCCGAUCUGAGGCCA